UACGUAGGUGGCAAGCGUUGUCCGGAUUUACUGGGCGUAAAGAGCGCGCAGGCGGUCGUUCAAGUCGAGUGUGAAAGCCCCCGGCUCAACUGGGGAGGGUCACUCGAUACUGAUCGACUCGAAGGCAGGAGAGGGAAGCGGAAUUCCCGGUGUAGUGGUGAAAUGCGUAGAUAUCGGGAGGAACACCAGUGGCGAAGGCGGCUUUCAGGCCUGCUCUUGACGCUGAGGCGCGAAAGCUAGGGUAGCAAACGGG
Molecule: ribosomal RNA, 253 nt
Filed under: uncultured bacterium
Lineage: Bacteria
Description: partial 16S ribosomal RNA
Rfam family: Bacterial small subunit ribosomal RNA
Source: RNAcentral